AGCAGCCGCGGUAAUUCCAGCUCCAAUAGCGUAUAUUAAAGUUGUUGCAGUUAAAAAGCUCGUAGUUGAAUUUCGGGGGUUAGUAAGUUGGUCAUGCCUUCGGUAUGUACUGGCUUUACUGAUUCCUCCUUCUUGACGAACCGUGAUGUCAUUAAUUUGGUGUUGCGGGAAAUCAGGACUGUUACUUUGAAAAAAUUAGAGUGUUUAAAGCAGGCUAACGCUUGAAUACAUUAGCAUGGAAUAAUGAAAUAGGACGUUAAUCCUAUUUUGUGGUUUCUAGGAUCGACGUAAUGAUUAAUAGGGAUAGUUGGGGGCAUUAGUAUUCAAUUGUCAGAGGUGAAAUUCUUGGAUUUAUUGAAGACUAACUACUGCGAAAGCAUUUGCCAAGGAUGUUUUCAUUAAUCAAGAACGAAAGUUAGGGAUCGAAGACGAUCAGAUACCGUCGUAGUCUUAACCAUUAAACUAUGCCGACUAGGGAUCGGAUGAUGUUUAUUUUUAAUGACUCAUUCGGCGCCUUACG
RNAcentral lists this ribosomal RNA (520 nucleotides) under uncultured Glomus. RNAcentral describes it as "SSU rRNA". It matches the Rfam family "Eukaryotic small subunit ribosomal RNA", at positions 569 to 1092 of the family's 1831-position model. Lineage: Eukaryota; Fungi; Glomeromycota; Glomeromycetes; Glomerales; Glomeraceae. The record is from RNAcentral.